UCUGGAUGGGAAGACAGGUGAUCAAGUGAUGUCUCCACCUGCUCUAGCAGGUUUUCAUACCAAGGAUUCUGUUACGCUUGAUGCCCUGUCCUUCCUCAGAGAUCCCAAUACAGAGUGCAUUGAGAACUUCAUAGAGACAAUGCCGUGGGCUUAUUUUUGUUGUGCAUCCCACACCUACUUCUGUAACGGAUCCUAGCUAUGUUUAGCACUCUCUGAAGAUUUAGUGUGUGAGGAUGUGUGGCUGCCAGAUGGAAAUAUCAAAGUAGACGAUACAGAGAAGGAUAUGCUCUUCAUGAGAGACGAAAAAAGUAUUUAAGAGCUGUACUUUCAUGACAGAAGAGUGCUGCAGGAACAACCUGAAUUCAACAGUCUAGAUGAGUAUUCAAAUUGUUUUGUAUCAUCUGUGGUUGUUAAAGAUAAUAAAGGCAAGGCGGAGAGGUGUGAAUGCUAUUUGCAUGAGAUGGUACUCAGACUAUGACUGAGAUGAUACGGUAUGGUCUCACCACUAACUUCUUAAUAGAAAGCAAGUUUGAUGUAGAGUUGUCUACAUGUGAGAAUUUGGAGACAGCAUAGAGAAACUUAUAGCCACUGCGGCAGCCAGGCACCAGUCCCAUUUCUCCUCUAGGUAACUUUGUGCAUGAGUUCUCACUUUUUAUAAGAGUGUCGGUUUUAUUAGGUGGUGUUAAGUCUUAGGAGUUAGAAGUAAAGGUCCUUAUAGGCUUUCUAAUGUAAAUACGAACAUUUGGACUUAGACAUGUGUUAAGUGUCACUGAAGGUAAAUUACCGUGAAUUAGCUACAUAUACUCUCAGGCAAUGCAUAGAAUCGUAGAAUCUUUAGGUUGGAAAAGACCUUUGAGAUCAUCAACUCCAACCAUACCUGUCCACUACUAAAACAUAUCCCAAAGCACAUAACCAACAAGCCUUUUAAAUUUUAGAAAGUUUGGUCUAAAACCAUUCCAGAGCAUAUUGAUUCCUUAAAUACAUAAACUUGAUUAUUUUUUUUUGUCAAACUGACACCAAAAAAAACCCAUGCCAUCAGGAAACUAUUACUAGAAAACACACGAAUAAGCCGCAUGUACAGUACGAGUUUACCUCCAGUGUUAAUUACCAGCAAAGAUCUAUACUUUGAUUAGGAAGGUUUAGUAGAUCAUUAUUAAUGCAAAAUGUUGAAGGUUAUAUUGGUAAUUAAUUUGAUAAAUAAAACAUAUUCCUUGUCACUUGUUUGCAAGGUGUUAUCAGUAAGCUUAGAAUCAUAGAAUGGUUUGGAUUGAAAGGUCCCUAAAGAUCAUCUAGUUUGAAGCCCUCUGCCAUGGGCAGGGACACCUCCCACAGAUCAGGCUGCUCAAGGCCUCAUCCAACCUGGCCUUGAACACCUCCAGGGAUGGGGCAGCCACAACCUGUGCCAGUGCCUCACCACUCUCACUGGGAAGAAUUUUUUCCUAAUGUCUAAUCUAAAUCUUCCCCCCUCCAAUUUAAAGCCAUUCCCCCUCAUCCUAUCACCACAAGCCUUUGUGAACAGCCCCUCCCCAGCUUUCUUGUAGCUUACAGGAAGGUUCCUGUAAGGUCUCCUCGGAGCCUUCUCUUCUCCAGACUGAACAAGCCCAACUCCCUCAGCCUGUCCUCAUAUGGGAGGUGCUCCAGCCCUCUGAUCAUCUUUGUAGCCCUUCUCUAGGCACAUUCCAACAGUUCUUAUGCUGAAGAUUCCAGAGUUGGACACAAUACUCCAGGUGGAGUCUCACAAGAGCAGAGGGGAAGAAUCCCCUCCCUCGCCCUGCUGGUCACACUUCUUUUGUUGCAGCUCAGGAUACAGUUGGCUUUCUGGGCAGUAAGCGCACCUUGCCAACUCAUGUCGAGCUGCUCAUCAGUCGGCACCCCAAAGUCCUUCUCUGCAGGGCUGCUCUCAAUCAUGUCAUCCCCCACCCUGUACUGAAACUGCAGAUUGCCCUGACCCAUGUGUAGGACCUCGCACUUGGCCUUGUUGAACCUCAUAAAGUUCAUCCAGGCCCACUUCCCCAGCUUUUCCAGGUCCCUCUGGAUAAUCUUUGAUUCCAAGCCAACAGAAAAUCAUUUUCUGACCAUAUAAAGGAGUAACAAAGUUUUUUUCUAAUCUAAUUUUCUCCUUAAUGAAUUUUAUGGAAGGAUGUAUUUUGUCAUCUGGCUAGUGUUUCUAAGUAAAGUUUCCUUCUCCUCUUGAGCGGGACUUAAAACAAAGGCUUGCAUAAAUAAGUUUUUUACUUCCUGUAGGGCUUCCAUAUCAUGCAAAUUUAUUGUAGCAGAACAUUAACCUUUCCUUCAUCCAGAACACAGUAACUCAGAAUAUCCAAAUUUUUGCAGUCAUGACAAUUUAUACAAGCUUUGUUAGAUCUGAAUUUCAGCAGGUAAAGAUAGAACAUGGGAUAUAUUUGAAUACUCUAGAAAUCUUUUUCUCUUUCCUUACAUGCAUUCUGUCCAAGCUAUUAAUAUUGUCUAAAUGUAGAAAGAAGUUUAUCAACAAGAGGUUUUUUUCUUUAAGUUCUAGUAUAUAGUUGCUUCAUCUCUCAUGCAAAGUCAAAUGGUCAAUUACUGUAAAAAAAUGCAGAUUAAAAUGUAAGAAAGGAUUAUUAAAAAAACCAAACACUUCAAUGUCAAAUGCUUAGUAAGAAUUUUUAGUCAUUGAGAGUUAUCAUUCUUUUCUGGUGUUAGUCAGUGGUUUUCAAGAUCAUACAUAUUUUAAUUAAAAAAAAAAAUCUUGAAUUUCAAGUCUAUUUACUUUUAGUAUGGAUUGUGACCCUGGCCUCAUGCGUUAAUAUUUCUAGUGAAGCACAGAUUCUUCAGUAGCAGAAGCAUUAACUUCACUCUCAUGAAGAACAAUUCUAGUAAAGGUGACUCUAGGGAACAUGCAAAUUUGAAUUUGUUUGUUUGAGACAAACAGGGAUUCAAUUUCAUCUUGCUGGCAUUCCAGAUCUCUAUGGUACGUGCUGCAGAGAAGCUGGAGCUGACUCUGUCAAGUUGGCAUUGCACUACGGUUAAUAAGCCCUCAUGAGGGGCAGGAGUUGAGCACACAGACACAGCACAUCACUGACAUGUUAACACGGUUCUGUGCGGAUGUACCAGUCAGCACCAGUCUGACCUCUCUGCACUGCCAUGGGCACUGCAGGCAUACACGCAGUUUUGAUUUGUUUUUUUUCCAAAGUGAAUACCUAGUGGCUUUGGGUUACAAAAAGACUUCAAGAAACUGUCACUGAGGCAGAGACAUCUAAAUUUGGAAUAAUAGCUUGAAUGGCUCUGACCUCCUUGUCCCUUUUAUUUCCGAGUGGUGCCAGCUCAGCUCCAGUGACAAAGACAGUACAAUGUAUUAUCAUUCCUUACAAAAGAUAAUAAUGUGUGAAAGAAUAACAUGCUUGUAUGAUGCUUGAUUCUGGGAUGGUGGAGGUCUCAUCACUGACCCAGCUCAGACAAAUCCUGACUGUGAGGUAAGGUUGGAUAGAAAAGAGAUGAUUUAACUCUCCUGUUCAGUCUACUAAUCGGUGAUGGUCCUGUAUGAAGAUGUAUCAGAGAAAUAUUUCACAGAUAAAAUACUCUGUACAAGCAUUCAGGAGAAUAA
This is a long non-coding RNA of Cuculus canorus (common cuckoo), 3583 nucleotides long. RefSeq lists it as uncharacterized. The record is from RefSeq and is a predicted model, not a curated record. Lineage: Eukaryota; Metazoa; Chordata; Aves; Cuculiformes; Cuculidae. The transcript has 3 exons.